CAGAGCGUAGCUAAACUAGCAUAGCACCUCCCUUACACCGAGAAGAUACCCGUGCAAAUCGGGUCGCACUGAC
RNAcentral lists this transfer RNA (73 nucleotides) under Rhinogobius formosanus. RNAcentral's name for it is "tRNA-Val". It matches the Rfam family "tRNA". From Rfam's summary of the family: Transfer RNA (tRNA) molecules are approximately 80 nucleotides in length. Their secondary structure includes four short double-helical elements and three loops (D, anti-codon, and T loops). The record is from RNAcentral. Lineage: Eukaryota; Metazoa; Chordata; Actinopteri; Gobiiformes; Gobiidae.